Molecule: ribosomal RNA, 322 nt
Filed under: uncultured eukaryote
Lineage: Eukaryota
Description: partial 18S ribosomal RNA
Rfam family: Eukaryotic small subunit ribosomal RNA
Source: RNAcentral
CCCUUAGAUGUUCUGGGCCGCACGCGUGCUACACUGAGUGGAUCAGCGGGUCAGGUUGCGCGAAAGUGUUUCCUAAUCUUUAAAUCCGCUCGUGAUGGGGAUUGACGGUUGCAAUUUUCCGUCAUGAACGAGGAAUACCUUGUAAGCGCGGGUCAUCAUCCCGCGCCGAAUACGUCCCUGCCCUUUGUACACACCGCCCGUCGCUCCUACCGAUUGAGUGGUCCGGUGAGGCUUUGGGAUCUGAGCGGAAAGAGCGUUUCGCUGUUUCUGCCCGGAAAACUCAGUCGAACCUUAUCAUUUAGAGGAAGGAGAAGUCGUAACA